Molecule: long non-coding RNA, 402 nt
Organism: Cyprinus carpio (common carp)
Lineage: Eukaryota; Metazoa; Chordata; Actinopteri; Cypriniformes; Cyprinidae
Exons: 3
Source: RefSeq, a predicted model, not a curated record
GGUACGUUGACUUAACUAGAGUAUGUGUCGCCUCAACUUAAAAACAUAUGCUGAACCAUUAAGGUAUAAGUUCUCAUUAUUUAUCGCGAGAUCACGUGAAGCGCGAAACAGGACUUGUUCAUCGGCAUUGCUGGCAGCUGGAGAGUUUGUCGGCACGUGGCAGAUUUAUCUUCCAUCAUCAUCAAAUCUGGCAUCAAAUCAACGAAAGAGGGUUGCAGUACUGCAGAGGCUGCCAUGGUUCAUGCAUGAGAAUCCAUCGCAAUUCAUAAAGAUCUGUGAGCACACAGAUUCCGAAGAAGAAAUGAUCAGGAGCAUGACUCUAGGAAUCAUCACAGCGGUGGAAGAUGUGACGGACCCCAUUCCAUGCGACUCUAAUGAUGUGGCCCUUGUUAUAGAGGAAGC